This 253-nucleotide ribosomal RNA is filed under the name uncultured bacterium. RNAcentral's name for it is "partial 16S ribosomal RNA". It matches the Rfam family "Bacterial small subunit ribosomal RNA", at positions 524 to 776 of the family's 1533-position model. The record is from RNAcentral.
UACGGAGGGUGCGAGCGUUAUCCGGAUUCACUGGGCGUAAAGCGCGUGCAGGCGGUUCGGUAAGUUGGAUAUGAAAUCUCCUGGCUUAACUGGGAGAGGCUAUUCAAUACUACCGGACUAGAGAGUGGUAGAGGAAGAUGGAAUUCCAGGUGUAGUGGUGAAAUGCGUAGAUAUCUGGAGGAACACCAGUGGCGAAAGCGAUCUUCUGGACCAUUUCUGACGCUCAGACGCGAAAGCUAGGGUAGUAAACGGG